RNAcentral lists this unclassified non-coding RNA (160 nucleotides) under uncultured Sordariomycetes. RNAcentral describes it as "sequence contains ITS1". The record is from RNAcentral. Lineage: Eukaryota; Fungi; Ascomycota; Sordariomycetes.
CCAGAGUUGAAAAACUCCCUAAACACUUGUGAACCUACCCGUUAUCGUUGCUUCGGCGGGCGGCCCCAGGGGGGGCCUCUGCCCCUCGCGGGCGCCCGCCGGAGGUACCAAACUCUAUGUUUUAUUGUAUGAUUCUCUGAGAAAAACACAAAACAAGUCA